CAGCAACCCUUGCUUUAGAGGCAAACCGUGUUCAAGUCCAGCCACGCAGGUGUGCAAUCUGUGGAAGUACCCUUAGAGGGAAGCCCCCAGUUUCCCCUCUCUGAGCAGGCUCUGGACCUGUGCCCAACUUUCUACGGGUCAUGCUCAGAAGUCACAUAGAUUUUUCUUAUUCAACUGCAUUUAUUUAAUAUGGAAGUUUUCAAAACAAGGGGUCGGCAGGUGGAAGAGUGAGGAGGUUAGGAGGUCUGGGCCCAAUAGGUUUAAGGCCCUUCUCACUCUGAGGAGUCCCCAUGCUUGGCUGACCUCAGUAAAGACUGGCUGAGGGUCUUCCUGGGGAGGCCUGGUGGGAGCCCCUUGUCCCCACCCCAAGGAUAGCUAUGAAGCGGGAAAGGGUGUCCCCCAGGCCUGGCUGCCCCGGAGAGCAGCAUCUGACUCGCAUUCCCAGAGCUCCUUCCUCCCCAGAGCAUGUUCUUCCCAGGCGCUGAAAACUAUCACUUUUUGGCAGUGUCCUCUCCCAACUCUCCCUUAUUCCCUCGAGACCCCUACCACUGCCUACCACCACCACCAUGUCCUCGCACCGUGAGAGACUGCCAAGCGUCCGGCUGUCCUUCUGAGGACAUAUGAGGGCCCAUGAGAUAAUGUCAGCCCUUCUACAAGCCAGAGGGUGGGGAGGGGGAUCAAACGCCAGCCAGCCAGCCCAGCUCCACGGAUCUGCAUUCAGACUAAUGCAGGGGCGGCCCCAGACUCCAGCGUGGGAUGUGCCGCCGCUGAAUACACACACGGAUGUGCCUGAACGUGAUGCGGGUGAUGCAGGCUUCCCAUGGUGAAAGCUUCUCAAACCUGGAGCCCCCGUGGCAGCCCCUGAGCCCCUCCAAGCCCCCCAUUUCCGAGAUGACAAGCUCUGCUCAGCCUCAGCAUUCCCAGAGGCCGGCCUCUCAGGCAGCAGACAGGUCAGUGGUGGGCAUGGUCCCUGAAGGGCAGCUGUGCCAUGAGAACCAGGGGUGGAGAAGCAUUCUGGUCACAGCCUCAGAGAGCUUCUGGGAUGAGGCGAAACUCCGGUCAGUGACUAACAGGUAGGGCUUUGUGGGAAGAAGUUCCAGCACCAGCAGGAGCUCCAAAGCAGGAGGGCUCAGAGUAUGUUAGGGGACAGUAGAGGCCCCGAGGCCCACCUGUGUAGUUCAUGGGUGUCUAGGACAAGACCCUGCAGUACAAGGUCUCGGCCCUGGGCCCCUGGCACUGCCUGCUUACUGUCAGGAGUGGGAGCUUACUGUCAGGAGAGACCCAGGUCUGAUGCUGGAAGGCCCUGAACCUUCAUGCUCCCUGGCCAGUCCCUGCACCAGGACACUGACCUGUAUCUGCAGCUGGGCUUGCGGCAUAGCCCACGGGAGCAGCCAUCCCAGGGCUGCUAGGGUGCAAGGUGGGCAUAACGUAGGCAGCAGGGUCCCGUCAGCAGGGCUGCCACAGGUGCAGAGAGGCGUCGGGGCGUCCUGGCAUCAGUCCCUUCCCAGGAGCGGAGCCAGGGCCCCUCACACCCAAGCAGACCGGCAGUGCUCUGCGGUCAGAGCACCUGGGCCAGGUUGUUAGAGAAAGUUCCUAGAAGGUGGGCUCCAAGCCGGGGGCUGCAGGAUGCGGAGGCCCGGAGCUGACACUAGGGGGCAGGGUGGAGCGGCGGGGACGGCAUCCCGGAGGAGGAGGGCGCCGCCGGAGCGAGCCGGGGCGCAGCAGGGAGGGCGUCGUGGGCGCGGCGGAGGUGGAGGCAGGGCUCGGGGCAGGAGGAGCAGAGCCGGGUUUUGCGCUGCCGGGGGCCCCCGUUCCCGCGGGGCGCCCCAGGUUCCUGCGCCGGGAGAGGCCCACGGGACGGCGGGAGCCUUUCCAAGCACAGCAGCCUGCAGGCGCCCGCGGCGACCCACUUUCCCUCCCGCCAGCCCCGCCCCGGGCCUAGAAUAACGCGGCGGCUGCCCAGCAGGUUUCUCUCUGGUUCUUUCUCAGCAGCUGUUGGUUACUGUCCAUGUAUGGGGACUCGUGGUUCAUCUCAUUUCUAAAAAA
Manis javanica (Malayan pangolin) is the source of this 2046-nucleotide non-coding RNA. The record is from RefSeq and is a predicted model, not a curated record. NCBI's taxonomy places the organism in Eukaryota, Metazoa, Chordata, Mammalia, Pholidota, Manidae.